AUGGAUUCCGACUACGGCGUGCCGCGCGAGCUCUCGGAGGUGCAGCAGAAGCGGACUCUCUACCAGCCCGAGCUGCCCCCCUGCCUCCAGGGCACUACUGUGAGGGUGGAGUAUGGUGAUGUGGCGAUCGCUGCUGAUCCAGCUGGCGCUCAUGUAAUCAGCCACGCGUAUCCCCACACAUACGGGCAGCCACUGGCUCAUUUCCUCAGGAAGGCUGCUAAUGUUCCUGAUGCUAAAGUCAUAUCAGAGCACCCUGCCGUCAGGGUUGGUAUUGUAUUCUGUGGAAGGCAGUCCCCAGGAGGCCACAAUGUCAUAUGGGGACUCCAUGAGGCCAUCAAAGCUCACAACGUGAACAGCAAACUUAUUGGUUUCCUCGGAGGAACCGAUGGUCUUCUUGCACAAAAAACUUUGGAGAUCACAAAUGAAGUUCUUUCUUCCUACAAAAACCAAGGUGGUUAUGAUAUGCUUGGUCGGACUAAGGAUCAAAUCAGAACAACGGAGCAAGUCAAUGGUGCAAUGGCUACUUGCCAGGCUUUGAAGUUGGAUGCUCUUGUAAUAAUCGGAGGUGUCACAUCGAAUACAGAUGCUGCUCAACUUGCUGAGACUUUUGCUGAGGCAAAGUGCGCAACAAAGGUUGUAGGUGUUCCUGUAACUUUGAAUGGGGACCUUAAGAACCAGUUUGUUGAGACAACUGUUGGUUUCGAUACCAUAUGCAAGGUGAACUCGCAACUUAUAAGCAAUAUGUGCACUGAUGCUCUAUCUGCUGAGAAGUAUUACUAUUUCAUCCGUAUGAUGGGAAGGAAGGCUUCUCAUGUGGCAUUGGAGUGUGCUCUUCAAUCGCAUCCAAAUAUGGUUAUCCUUGGCGAGGAGGUUGCUGCAUCAAAACUCACAAUUUUUGAUAUCACAAAGCAGAUAUGUGAUGCAGUUCAGGCGAGGGCUGAAAAAGACAAGAAUCAUGGGGUUAUACUUAUUCCUGAGGGCCUUGUGGAGAGUAUUCCUGAAUUAUAUGCUCUUCUACAGGAAAUUAAUGGCCUCCACGGUAAAGGUGUUUCCGUUGAGAAUAUCUCUUCUCAACUUUCUCCUUGGGCAUCUGCGCUAUUUGAGUUUUUGCCCCAAUUUAUUAGGCAGCAGCUGCUUCUCCGUCCUGAAUCUGAUGACUCAGCUCAACUUUCUCAGAUUGAAACCGAAAAGCUUCUAGCUCAAUUGGUUGAGACCGAAAUGAACAAACGUUUGAAGGAAGGCACUUACAAAGGAAAGAAGUUCAAUGCAAUCUGUCACUUCUUUGGCUACCAAGCUAGGGGUGCAAUGCCUUCGAAGUUCGACUGUGAUUAUGCCUAUGUUCUGGGACAUGUGUGUUACCACAUCUUGGCAGCUGGUUUGAACGGUUACAUGGCCACUGUGACAAAUCUUAAGAGCCCCCUGAACAAGUGGCGAUGUGGUGCUGCUCCUAUUUCGUCCAUGAUGACCGUGAAGGGAUGGUCACGUGGCCCUGCAACCACACAAAUCGGGAAGCCAGCUGUGCAUAUGGCUAGUGUUGACUUGAGAGGAAAAGCAUAUGAGAUGUUGAGGCAGAAUUCAUCCAGCUGCUUGUUGGAAGACAUCUACAGAAACCCUGGGCCACUCCAAUUCGAAGGGCCAGGUGCUGAUGCCAAGCCUAUUUCACUGUGCGUCGAGGAUCAAGACUACAUGGGCAGGAUCAAGAAAUUGCAGGAAUACUUGGAGAAGGUGAAGAGCAUAGUGAAGCCUGGGUGCUCUCAGGAUGUUCUCAAGGCGGCGCUGAGUGCCAUGUCUUCCGUGACGGAGACACUGGCUAUCAUGACUUCCUCUUCUACUGGCCAGCCCCCACUCUGA
Molecule: ribosomal RNA, 1851 nt
Filed under: Triticum aestivum (bread wheat)
Lineage: Eukaryota; Viridiplantae; Streptophyta; Magnoliopsida; Poales; Poaceae
Description: partial small subunit ribosomal RNA
Source: RNAcentral